This 550-nucleotide ribosomal RNA is filed under the name uncultured bacterium. Its description in RNAcentral is "bacterial SSU rRNA". It matches the Rfam family "Bacterial small subunit ribosomal RNA", at positions 355 to 896 of the family's 1533-position model. The record is from RNAcentral.
UAGGGAAUCUUCCGCAAUGGACGCAAGUCUGACGGAGCAACGCCGCGUGAGUGAAGAAGGCUUUCGGAUCGUAAAACUCUGUUGUUAGAGAAGAACAAGUGCUAGAGUAACUGUUAGCGCCUUGACGGUAUCUAACCAGAAAGCCACGGCUAACUACGUGCCAGCAGCCGCGGUAAUACGUAGGUGGCAAGCGUUGUCCGGAUUUAUUGGGCGUAAAGCGAGCGCAGGCGGUUCCUUAAGUCUGAUGUGAAAGCCCCCGGCUCAACCGGGGAGGGUCAUUGGAAACUGGGGAACUUGAGUGCAGAAGAGGAGAGUGGAAUUCCAUGUGUAGCGGUGAAAUGCGUAGAUAUAUGGAGGAACACCAGUGGCGAAGGCGACUCUCUGGUCUGUAACUGACGCUGAGGCUCGAAAGCGUGGGUAGCAAACAGGAUUAGAUACCCUGGUAGUCCACGCCGUAAACGAUGAGUGCUAAGUGUUGGAGGGUUUCCGCCCUUCAGUGCUGCAGUUAACGCAUUAAGCACUCCGCCUGGGGAGUACGACCGCAAGGUUG